GUGAUUUUCAAAUUGCUGCCAAAAAUCUUUUUGAUCACACCUUAUGUGUGUGUAAAUGUAUAUAUCAAAUAUGUGUUUUUCUAAGUGAAUUGUACAAGUACUUUUAUCAAGGAAAAGAAAUAGCAUUCAGGGGAGAGUGACAAUGAAUUGCACUUUUUUUUUUCAAUGAACUUACUUAAAUUCAGUUGAAGUCUGUACAUUAGUAAACACAUUGUGGAACAUGCGAAUAUUAUUGCUUCUUUGGGUGACACGAUAAUGGUGCAUUCUGUGGAUGCCUGUUAAACACCCUUCAGGGGUCUCGGGUCUGGGCUCAGUGGUAGAAAGCUUGCCAGGAAGGAGCAAAGCCCUGGAUUCCAUUGCCAGCACUACUAAAAACAAAACGGUAAACAUUAUCCUGAUAUUAUUUUCUUUUAUUCCUUUAGAUCCUGUAAAAAUUACCAUGCUGGUUUUGAAGUCUUUGGAAUAAAAUUCAACACAGUGUUGUUCCAGCUUUCCUGGCUUAGUUUGGUUUCAUACAGCACCUCAUUGGACACCUAACAGUAUCCAUGUGGAUCAGAACAAGACCCAUCUCUUCUUUCCUUUGUUUCAUUAAACAGUAAUUGCUUGG
RNAcentral lists this long non-coding RNA (607 nucleotides) under Chinchilla lanigera (long-tailed chinchilla). RNAcentral describes it as "lncRNA (ENSCLAG00000028785.1)". The record is from RNAcentral. Lineage: Eukaryota; Metazoa; Chordata; Mammalia; Rodentia; Chinchillidae.